Molecule: long non-coding RNA, 470 nt
Filed under: Hordeum vulgare
Lineage: Eukaryota; Viridiplantae; Streptophyta; Magnoliopsida; Poales; Poaceae
Description: long non-coding RNA (HVUL_LNC019608)
Source: RNAcentral
AAUAGGACUCCUAGACUAAUACUAAUACUUCCUAACAAAAAAUACAUCUGAGAACACAUGCGCUGGCAUGAUAACUUCUAGAUGCAUUUUAGCAAACACCAAACUAAACUUAACUAGAUACUAGGAUGCAAAGAGCCAGAACCUAAUGAGGGGGGUUCCUUCCAACACUAACGAGGGGGGUUCCUUCCAACACGCACAGAGAACCUAACGAGGGGGUUCCUUCCAACACGCACAGAGAACCUAACGAGGGGGGUUCCUUCCAACACGCACAGACGAUGUACACACAAAGAGGCUCAAGCCAAGGACUACACGUCCAGAUGAGCUCCGCCUCAGUGUCAUAUCGUCCUGCUCUCAACCCUGCUGCUACUGCCUGCCCAAGCCAAGACCCGGCCCUAUCAUCUGCCCUUGCAUUGCAACCAUCACGGCACCUUCACGUUGCAUCUCUUGGAUGAGCUGCUCAAGUCUGGGAG